This 635-nucleotide ribosomal RNA is filed under the name uncultured Polaromonas sp. RNAcentral's name for it is "bacterial SSU rRNA". It matches the Rfam family "Bacterial small subunit ribosomal RNA", at positions 8 to 636 of the family's 1533-position model. Lineage: Bacteria; Pseudomonadati; Pseudomonadota; Betaproteobacteria; Burkholderiales; Comamonadaceae. The record is from RNAcentral.
AGGGUUUGAUCCUGGCUCAGAUUGAACGCUGGCGGCAUGCCUUACACAUGCAAGUCGAACGGCAGCACGGGAGCAAUCCUGGUGGCGAGUGGCGAACGGGUGAGUAAUAUAUCGGAGCGUGCCCAGUCGUGGGGGAUAACGUAGAGAAAUUUACGCUAAUACCGCAUACGAUCUACGGAUGAAAGCGGGGGACUCGCAAGAGCCUCGCGCGACUGGAGCGGCUGAUAUCAGAUUAGGUUGUUGGUGAGGUAAAAGCUCACCAAGCCGACGAUCUGUAGCUGGUUUGAGAGAACGACCAGCCACACUGGGACUGAGACACGGCCCAGACUCCUACGGGAGGCAGCAGUGGGGAAUUUUGGACAAUGGGCGCAAGCCUGAUCCAGCAAUGCCGCGUGCAGGAAGAAGGCCUUCGGGUUGUAAACUGCUUUUGUACGGAACGAAAAGGUCCUUUCUAAUACAAGGGGCUAAUGACGGUACCGUAAGAAUAAGCACCGGCUAACUACGUGCCAGCAGCCGCGGUAAUACGUAGGGUGCGAGCGUUAAUCGGAAUUACUGGGCGUAAAGCGUGCGCAGGCGGUUAUGUAAGACAGUUGUGAAAUCCCCGGGCUCAACCUGGGAAUUGCAUCUGUGACUGC